CCUACGGGAGGCAGCAGUGGGGAAUUUUGGACAAUGGGCGCAAGCCUGAUCCAGCAAUGCCGCGUGAGUGAAGAAGGCCUUCGGGUUGUAAAGCUCUUUUGUCAGGGAAGAAACGGCUGAGGUUAAUACCUUUGGCUAAUGACGGUACCUGAAGAAUAAGCACCGGCUAACUACGUGCCAGCAGCCGCGGUAAUACGUAGGGUGCAAGCGUUAAUCGGAAUUACUGGGCGUAAAGCGUGCGCAGGCGGUUUUGUAAGUCUGACGUGAAAUCCCCGGGCUCAACCUGGGAAUUGCGUUGGAGACUGCAAGGCUGGAGUCUGGCAGAGGGGGGUAGAAUUCCACGUGUAGCAGUGAAAUGCGUAGAGAUGUGGAGGAACACCGAUGGCGAAGGCAGCCCCCUGGGUCAAGACUGACGCUCAUGCACGAAAGCGUGGGGAGCAAACAGGAUUAGAUACCCUGGUAGUCCACGCCCUAAACGAUGUCUACUAGUUGUCGGGUCUUAAUUGACUUGGUAACGCAGCUAACGCGUGAGUAGACCGCCUGGGGAUACGGUCGCAAGNUUAAAACUCAAAUGAAUUGACGG
RNAcentral lists this ribosomal RNA (583 nucleotides) under uncultured bacterium. Its description in RNAcentral is "bacterial SSU rRNA". It matches the Rfam family "Bacterial small subunit ribosomal RNA", at positions 338 to 916 of the family's 1533-position model. The record is from RNAcentral.